Molecule: long non-coding RNA, 231 nt
Filed under: Elaeis guineensis (African oil palm)
Lineage: Eukaryota; Viridiplantae; Streptophyta; Magnoliopsida; Arecales; Arecaceae
Description: long non-coding RNA (EGUI_LNC055500)
Source: RNAcentral
GACACUAUGGAAGGGCAACUACUGGAGGAGUCUGGAUGGUACUGUGGAAGCUUGGACGGUCGGGAGAGUUCAGAAAGACGUCGCACAAGGUCAGAAGUCAGAAGAGUCUUGGGAGGGUUGGCCUCUUACGAACUUCGGCUGGGGUUAUUUUUUACCCAACAGACCUGAUCAAAUCAGAAUCAAUUCUUCCCUACCGAUUAGGUCAUCUCAUAACCUAAUCGAACCUCAUCU